RNAcentral lists this long non-coding RNA (28822 nucleotides) under Malus domestica (apple). RNAcentral's name for it is "long non-coding RNA (MDOM_LNC004302)". The record is from RNAcentral. Lineage: Eukaryota; Viridiplantae; Streptophyta; Magnoliopsida; Rosales; Rosaceae.
CCUCACAAUCUCACAGGCAUGUUGAGUGCCUCUAUACCAUACAUACUGGAUUAGUGCCAGGAAGACACAUUAGGUUGACCAAAAAGUUUGGCGUUUCAGGAACAUGCUUUUAGAAGCAAGCUUCAGUAAUCACAAACCAUCUAAAUUAUGUUCAAUAUGCUCACACCAAUAACAAAAAUGAUGCACUUGGGCAAAAGUACAAUAGAAUUUUUGGAGUAGUCAAACAAAGACAACCACUAAUCAUAUAUGAGGGCAUACGACAUUUGAUGGGCAAAAGGUGAACACACUCAUGGCUAUUGUGAUGCGGCUAUCCAAUAGAAGAAUAUUCUCUAUUACAACUUGGUUAUCAACUUUUCAUGAGUAACAAUUCCUCCAUGUAUUUGUAUUUUGGUAUCAACUGACUAAACAAAAUCUUUAUUGCUAUUUUUUUAUAGAAAACGAGAUUUUAUUAAACAGCUAAAAAACAAUACAACACUUAGUGGACUAGGAAGUCCACCAUCAAAACGAAACAGCCCUGACAUAUGCCUCAACAUUCACCUCCAUCAUUAUAAAACAGAUCUGCAACUAUCUCACUGCAACUCCCCAAUCCAACAAAAUUACAUAAAAUGAAAGAUCCCAAAACCUUGGAGAGAGAGAAGCCAUAAGAAUGCCCAAUUCUUUCCCAAGAAUUCUCUUGUAAAUCCCCACUCUAAUUUUCAAAGGUUGCAAACUUGAAAUUAACAUAGAAGGUAACUGGCUUCAGAGUCAACUAGGAUAAUACUGGGCAUAUAUGCAGAGAGUAGGCAUAGUAGCAACUUUCAGGGUAUGGAAUAAUACAAAAGGAAAGGGAAGACCACAGAAUUCUCUCAGUCAUCUUAACUUGAUUUGGUACUAAGAAUAAGUUAUGUAUACACUUCCCACUGGCCCAUCUGUACGUUAAUAUAGAAAUAGAUUAUAUCCUGGCAACAAGGAAGUGAAAUACUCCUAUUUUUAUAUCAAUAUUGGGCACAAAUUAAGAGUUCAUCAAUAUAAUUUUACCUCAAUUGUAACCAACUGUGCAUAUAAGUUUACCUGAAUUGUUUGUCUGUGCUGCUUGUAUAUAUUGAUCUGUACAGUUGCUUUCUUCAACAAAGGGUCACUACUUUUCUGUACAUCAUAAUCUAUAUGUUCCUGCAAACAUAGUUUACAACUGUAAGCUCAAUAACUAGUGCACUGUUCGAAGUACAUGAUUGAAAAAUGAAGAAAACGGAGUGACCUUAUAACAAUUAAUGAAAGAUAAAAUGUAGUUCACAGAAUAAAACAUUCAAACACCACCAUCUUGAUAGUUAAACAAUUUCACUGUAAAAGCUAUUAAACUUAGCAGGAAAAAAAAUUUAAACUUUAUCUAACAUUUGAAUCUACAAUUUUCAAUUAGCAACUCUUGUCACAAAUGUUUAUUAGUGGGGUACGUUCUAAGAUAUUGUUAUUUGCUAAUUGUCGAGGAUUAUUUGGGAGUUAAAUCUCACAAGAAGGCGUAAAGAUCACAUUAGAAUUAGAUAUUUUACUAGGAAGCUAAAGAUCACAUUAGAACCACCCGCAGGAAUACAAAAAAACGACAUACCUUAUAGUCCAGUUGAUCAAAACCCUUGCAAACAAAUUCGAACAAGGUUCUUAAGUUCUCAGGGCUGGGUGCAGUUACAAAUAUAUUUGAAUACCUGUGAAGAUAUAUUUGUAUCGUCAAAACAUAGUACAUGAAUAUGAGUGUAGACAGCUACACAUACACCAAAACAGUUUUAAUACAUUGUAAAAGGCAUACUACCCUGCAGCAAUAGCUCCGGAAAUUGCCAAACCAAGUGCAGCCGAUUUUCCACGGCCUCGAGCAGCAAGCAAGGCAACAGUACUUCGGAGUGUCUUGUCCAAGAUUGCAUCAAGAAAUGUAGCAACAGCAUUUCCCUGUUGAAACAUUUACCAACUCAAACUAUGAGUCAUAUUAGUAAAUCACACAUGAUAGAAAAACUCAAAACUAAUACAAAUCAGAGAGAGUGCCUACCUGGUCCAACGUACAACAUUUCUUUAUUAAAGGGCCAACAGGAAAGGCAUCACUCAGCUGCUCUUUUAGAUCCUUCAGUUCCCUUUGUGACUCUGAUAUCCCUUCAGAGUCCUUCAAUCAUGAUCAGAAAACAAGAAAAAAGUUAUCAAAGUUAUCAAAGCUUCACAAACUCCUAGAAAGUAUCCUAAUAACCAUUCGGUAUACACACACUUGAAAAAUUACUUUUAUUCUUUUUGUCAUCUCGCAUAAGAUGCCACGAAAAUAAAGCAUUCCUCGAUUUAUCAGUUCCGUCCUAUAGAAAAGUUACAAGGCUAAAAGGUUACCUCUUUCACUGGAACUGGGGUAAUUGACCUCAUAUGAGAUGAAAUUGGUAAAAUAUUCAGCUCAUCAUCCAUUACUACACAUGAUUUGCAUGACGCAAGUGACAAUAAGAAACGCUCGUUAAAACGUCCAGUAGCCUUAGAAUGGGAUUCAGUUCGAAACCUAUCAUGAACAUCCUGAAAUCAAGAGGCGCUGAUAAGACUGUAUGGAGAUUUUUGCAUUUGAGAGAACGAGAAAGACAGUGUUGCAAAUAAAACAUGACAUAACGGAAUUGUUAUCAAAUAUAAUAUGUGGUGCAUGGCUAUUGCUAUAUUCGUUCUAAGUCCAUAAUGUAGUAAAACUAGAAACUACCUCAACAAGAAGAACAAAUAUUAUGAGGAAACCUAGUUGUUUUUUCUUCUUCUUUUUGGGGCUAGAACAUGAAAAGAAACAACUAGUCUACAUAGGCCCAACUGGGAAACUUAUAUGUUCAGCAGCAUUCUCUUAAAGAAAGUCAAGCAAUUGAAUCUACCAAAAGUCUUCUUGUAGCCAAGCACAUCAUUACGAAAAAAUUCGGAAACUUUUAACAUGGCUAGUUUUCAAGAUUUUGCGGUAUAUAAUAAGCAUAACCAUGCUGGCCUAAAAACUAAGCAUUAAUUGUGUGCAUGCGUAAGAGAAAGAGGUAUUAUUAUAUGCAUACCAUAACCAUGGUGUAGAGGUUGGUGAGUGAGGUUAGAGAAUGAAGCAACAAUAUGACUAGUCCACCUCCCUCCACUGUCUCUAUCGUUCUUGCUAGUAGAUUUGGAGUCAAGGCCUCAAAAUCCUAAUGCAGGAGAUCAAACUUAGUCAUAAAACUUAAAUCAAUUAUACAAGGGGUCUUGGCCAAACCAGUAAAUUUGUAAGUUUCAAGUUACCUGAAGUAUACACAUUCCAAAGGUAUUACCAAGAACUCUUUCUGAAUCCUUGUACAAGCAAUAAGUCAAUCCCCCACUUUCAACAAAAAGUGAGAAAGGAUCAACCUUCUCGGGAUCAAGCAGCCCCCUCUGCAUCAUCUUUUUUACUUGCUUAGCACGUUUUUUCUUGUGACUGCAUCAUGAAGUAGUCAAACGCAACGAAUCAAUAUAUUUUAAAAACGAAAUUCCGCCUUGCCUUAUAAUAAGGUGAAGAAUGGAAGGUAGAAGAAAUCAACCUGCUGAGCUCGAGCUUGUCCUUGUAGCACCACAACACAGUCGGGCGCGAUUUCUUUACUUCAUUGCUUAGCAUAUAAUGAAGAUUCACAAUCUGAAGACCAUAUAAAACUCCAUAUUAGCCAUUUUCCGUUAGUUUUCGAUAGAUUUUCGAUGAUAUUUCUUACCUUGUUUGAGGUUUUUAGUGUUACUCGGUGAGUAUUGCAGGUGAAAACAAGAAACAGUAAAACUGGUAAAAUUUUCUACCCAAUUCAAUUUAAAUCAUUGUUAUAACUCCUCAAAUUGAAUAGGAAUAGCAAAUAGGGAAUGGGAUAGGAAAGGCAGAAGAAAUUAGGAGUACCUGGUCACGGGAUUUGUCGCCGACGAUGACGAACAUGGAGCGGUGCCGGUUUUUGACGCCAUUGCUUAUUAGGGUUCGGAUUCGUUCGUCCACCUUCUUCCUCAUUCUCUCUCUCUCUUCUCUCUCUGUGCAAUUAGGUUUAGGGUUUAUACCAUAGGGCAGUUGUCGUCGUCGGGCAGGGUUUAAGCCGAACUAGUGAGAGAGAGACUAGACAUCGCGGAGAGAUAUUGAGUUCAUCUCAACCGUUGAUUGGCUAUCUGAUGGCUGUUAUCAAAGCUGACAUAAAAAUGAAAACUCAACACGUGGCCAAGUAUUUUUUUUCUCUCUUUUUUGGCUUAUUUAUUGAUUUGCCCCAGAAAUUAUUUUUUUUGUCUUACUCUAGGUCAUGAAACAGAAUUUAUCUUACUUUAUCUUCUAAAACUACCAAAAUCGAGUCAUUUCACCCAUGUUUUGUCAAUUCUAUCUCAUAAACGUUAAAUAAAAGGGAGUCUAAACAUUUCAUACCAUGCUAGCAAAGAUGAGCCACUGUUGUUGGUGAGGUACGAAAUUUUCAAACUUUCCUAAACCUUUAAAACUUAAAAGGUAUCUUGAAUAUGAACGUAAAUGAGGUAAAGUUGCUCAAUUUUGGCAAUUUAUGAAGGGUAAAAUGAGACAAAUUCAAUUUAAGGCUAAAGUGAGAGUAAAUGGCAGUUUCAUGAGAUAUAUCAAUAAAUAAAUCUUUUCUAGAAUACAACUAAAUUAUGUACUCACGGUAAAAGAUAAAUUAAUAUCGAACUUGUCAUUGACGAUAUCUAAACAUAAAACCUUUCAAGUUUUUACCUAUAAGAAUAAAUUUGGUAUAGUAAUUUCUUUUCUAAUUUAAAGUUUCCCAUAGAGUUAUGACGAAUUUGAUACCAAAUUAGGCUGUCAUUGUGUGGCAUAGCCGAAUUCCUCCUCCCUUACUUUAAAAAUAACGAUGUACUCAAAAAAAGUUUCCCAUAGAGUUAAAAUGAUCUUUAGUUGCUUGCUGAGACAACCCAUAUGUAUAAUAAGACAUUGAAAAAGGUGCCUCUGUCAUUUACACUCACACGAUCGAAUAAGUAGCUCCGACAGUUGCAUCAUAAAAUUAAGGGGUUUUCCGAGAUUGUAGUAAGGUUGACGAUUAAAGUUUGGGAAAUUUUCAGGUUAAGGAAUCAAGGGAUCACAUUUUCAAGUUUCGUAGGCAUUCUCUUUCCUUUGGAAUGGUGUUGGAAUCCGUCCUGAAGUUGCCCAUUCCUUUGCUCUUGAUUUUCAGAGUUGGAUAGCUAUAAACCUUAGGACACAUUGUACCACCAUACAUGGUUUACCUUGGAACCUUAUCUUUAAUUCAACUCUCUGGCAUUGCUGGAAAUGGAGGAAUAACUUUGUCUUCAAUGAUGGCCAACAACCGCUUGACUCACCCCAGAAUUUCAUUUUUCAAUUUGCAAGGGAAUGGUGUGAUGCGAACAAGUGUUCUUCUAGUAAGCCUCCUAGACAAAAUCAUCUCAAUCCAUUGGAUUCGUUUGCCAAUUGGUAUACAAAAUCAAUACAGAUGGGAGUUGUAAAGACCCAUUUAGCCACAUAAGUGCUGGAGGUUUGCUUCGUAAUUCUGAAGGGAAAUGGAUUAAGGGAUUUGCUGCUAAUUUGGGCAGAGGAACCAUCAUGGAAGGUGAGCUUUAAGGGUGGUUUCAUGGGACUUUCUAUAGGUUGGGAUGAGAGUUGCAAGGAAGUGAUUAUUGAAUGUGAUUCUUAUGCUGCUGUUACUUUGAUCCAACAACCUAUUUUAGUUCCCACUCUACAAUCUCAUUAUUGACUGCAAAGAAGCCAUUGAAAGAAAUUGAAGAUGUGAAGUUACUCAUAUCUAUAGAGAAAAUAAUGUCUUAGCUAAUCACACGUCUGACUUAGGUCAUGGGUUAUCACUUGGUCUUCAUGUUUUUGCUUCUCCUUCUACCAUUGCUACUAAUUUUAUAGUUUCUAAUACUAUUGGCAGGGCCCUCCCUAGAGCUGUUUUUUAGUAGCUUUUUUGUUUUGCUUGUUGGGCUUUGCCCUCUUCUGUACCCAAAAAAAAAAAAAAAAAAAAAAAUAUUGGGAAAUUUAUUUGGACCCAACUUUUUUAUCUCUACACCCAAAUAAUAUUUUCUCUUAUCUAAUCUUCCAAAUUUGUCCUUAAAUAACAAACAUUGAAGUUUUCUUUGUAUCUCUACACCCAAACCCCACGAUCCACCACUGUAGGGCGCUCCAUUAUUUCCGACAAACCCAACUCAAACGCCAGCAACACUAAAAUCGACAAAUCAAGACUGGAGAACAAAUGGUGUAGGAGUCCUAAUGUGAAUAUUAAAGCAAACUUAAGUUGCAAAACCCUUUUUUAUUUCAAUCGAUGAAAGGACCUUGGGUUAUGAACAUAAGGAACCUAUUAGGGUUUAGAGGUCCCCUCCACAUCAUAUGCAUAAGCCCUUUUUCUUCAUUCAUUAAUUUACGGAAGGGAAAAUUAAUACUAUUAUUCUCAUAAAAAGUGGGAAUACCAAGGAAAGAGAUCCUCUCCACACCAUAUAUUUUUCUUUUCUGAGUAGUUAUAUCCAAUGGAGAGAGGAAAACAAGAGCACCAAUGGUCGCAGGUUCACCGGAGAAAAUGAAGGUGCAGUGGUGAUGUGAGUUUAGGGUUAUUGGGUGUAAAGAUAACAACUUUAAUAUUUAUUUUCUCAUUUUUAUUUAUUUAAGGGCAAAUUUGAAAGUUUAGUAGAGAAAAUUUGUUAGUUGGGUGUAGAGAUAAAAAGGUUGGGUCCAACAAAAUUUCUCAUAAAGUUUAAUCACGCGAUUAAGUUCUUGUGCAAUGAGUAAAUUGUAGCAAUGACCCAUCAACUAAAAAUCCAUUAUUAUUGAUCCCUCAACUCAUCAAAAUAUGUAGUUAUGGUCAUUUUCGUCAACUUUGUAAGAAUUUUGUCAAAAUAAAUUAUGUUGGAAGGACCAUUGUUACAAUUAAGGUCCUUCAACUCAUCAAAACAUGUAGCUAUGGUCAUUUUCGUCAACUUUGUCAAAAUGAGUUAUGUUGGCAUGACCAUUAUUGCAAUUGGGUUAAAGUUGAGGAAUCAUUGCUCCAAUUGGGUUAAAGUUGAGGGAUCAUUUCUCUAGUUAGAUUAAAGUUGGGGGACCAAUGAUAAUUAAGUUUUAGUUAAGGGAUCAUAGUUGCACGUUUUGAUGAGUUGAGAGAUCAAUGAUAAUGAAUUUUUAGUUAAUGGAUCAUUACUCCAAUUGAGUUAAAAAUAAAGGACCAUUGCUACAAUUUACUCUUGUGCAAUAGAAGAUUAAUUUGGCCGAACAACCUGAUUAAGGUGCCUACUUUCUCUUUAAUUCAUUGGUAUCAUUUAUUUUCCCUUAAGCUGAAUUAUGCUCAAUUUAUGUAUCAAUAUUGUAAAGUUGUCUUUGUUAGAGUAAUUUGGACAAUAUAAAUUGAAAAUUAUUUGUGUAUAUGGAAAAGAUUAACCUCAGGGGUCACUUCGCCGGACUCCGUAGCAAUCUCCACCACUCCAAUCGUAAUGGUGAGUAAAUCACUUGUGUUUGUUUCCAUUUUUUCAAUUGGAAAUUGGGGGUUUUGAAUUCAUAUUUUGUCAAUUGGUUUUGUGAGCACUGAGAAUACACUACGAGCUUGUGUGUGUGUACAAUAUGUUGGAUUUGAUCUUUAUAAAGAAUGCGAGAAAUUGGGGUUAGGAAAGAGAAGAAAAGGAAACAGAACUCGAACUUCGAUCUUCAUUCUUGUUACUAAAGGAGAAAACCGAAUUUGAACCGGUUCAUACGUAAUCGAACCGAAUUUGUAUAGUUCGGUUCACCCCUUAGUACCGAACCGUACCAUACCAAAAAAAAUUUCUUGAGUUUGGUUUUGAUACAUCCCUCAUACUGUACCAUACCAAAUCGUGGCCAGACCUACUGAAUACAAAACUUAUAUCUGGGUCGUAAGUCGUAAGGCCUCCAAAAAAAAAGUUCAUAUUAUUCAUACCAAUCGGACAAAUCCCGCACCCAAAAACAAUGGCUAGAUAGAAAGUUCAAUUAUAGAUUAGGUAAUCUAUCCUUUUCAACUUAAAUGCACAUUCAUGAUGGUUAUGCAAAUCAUAUUAUGUUAACAAAUGCAACAAUUAAUUAUAUUUAUCCAUUUGGAAUGAUAUAUAUUUUCAAAGAUGGAAUUACAGACCCCGUUGACGUUGAGGCCAUUGCAUGAGAGAAUUUUAGAUGAUUUUCAAUUAAUUUAUAUUAUUGUUGUGAUAACCAUAAUAAUUAUUUUCUAAAUGUAAAACUAUAUUAAUGAAAUUUUCUUUGUCGGUCAAAAGAAGAUGAAAAGAUAUCUUUAUCUUCUAUCACAACAAAAAAAUUAAGGAUAUUAAUGUAAUAGGCUAAUAGCGAUGGGGUGAAGAAAUGGAACUAUCCUAAAUAGGCAGUUGCUGGUUAUAUUGGAUCAGGUGGUCUGAAUGAUUGGAUAAUUAGCAAAUAAAAAGGUUCCAUUUUUCAUGGACCCUCAAGUGGAAAUAUGGGAUAAAAGAUGGCAUAUACCAUUUUAUCCAUUUGUGAUUGUACAUUUUGAUGGUUGUGAUUUCACCCGAUGGCGCGGCAAGUGUGGAUUGGGAUAAGGAUGGUUUUGGUCUAUCAUCAAAGAUGGUUUGAUGUUCACGACUGGAUUUUACAACGCAUCCAAGUGCAUGGGUUCUAUAAAUACAGAGUUGCGCACAAUAAAAAAGUACAAAGGACCUUCAAACCUUUCACACACUCUGAGAAACUCCUGAUUCUCCCAACUUCGUCAACACAUCUUCAAUUUGGAUUAACAUCACUGUUUGUCAGUGAGGAGUCCUUAGUCUUCUCGUCUCAUUAGCCCUCUAGGUGAAGUGAGGUGUUACUGAAUUACUUGAGUAUUCAGCACAUUGAAAGUCGAACCUUAUUUGAACUUCACAGUAGUUAGCAAUCUUAUCUUCAGGUUUUAGAACCCAAUGCCAAGACAUAUUCCUUCCUCGACAGUGAUGGUUUGUACACAAAAGUUGGUUUGUACACAUAAGUCAGUAUUGUGUUUGACACACCAUCCCAUUCAUUCUACUAGCCCACAAACGCGUGGACUCGUCCAAAAUUACCCCACUCUCGGCCCGUUCACUUGCCCACUCGUCCCACGCGGCCCGUGAGUCUUCAGUGCCUGAUAGGGGGGCCUACUGUUAGGGCCGUUGUUGGCCACAACCCAGAGCCCAACGAUUUUUUUUUGCAUCCCACGACUGGCAUUUUUGGACCGUUGGUUGAUCCAACGGUCCAGAUUCAAAUUUUGUUUUUUUAAAUGUUAUUUUAAAAUACAUUGAAUCCAACGGCUGAGAUCGAAUAUAAUCAAAUCUAACGGUAAAAUAAAAAAAGAUAAAAAAAGAUAUAACAGUCCAAAUUUAAAUCCAACAGCUAAAAUAAUUUUAAAAAAAAUUAUUUAACUCAAAAUUCACCCAAAAACUCUAUAAAUACCUUUGUAUUUGUUCAAACAUCCACACAAAACUCAAUUUUCUCCCACAAUUCUUCCAUUUUUUCUUUCUACCAUUUCUUUCCAUUUCCAAAUUGUUCAACACGAUCCUUGAAUUGGCCAUCCCAAGCAGUAAGACAAUUCUUCCACUCCCAAAGCAUACAAUCGAGACUUCCUAUCAUGUCAGGAAAGCCUAUUUUGUCUGCUUUGAGUAGAAUGUGACGACAUGUCCCGAAUUAUUAUAUAUUUUUCUCCCUAAGUGUGUAAAGUGACGGUAAUGCCCUCGUGAUUUAGUGACGUGGAUGUACAUAUGUAGUUUUAAAUUAUUAUUUCUAUUGUCGUAGUUAAAUUGUACUCGACGCCAUGAGUGUGUUGAUGUGACCUAGGGCUAAAACAAAUUCGUAACGAAGAAGUUACGAACAGACGAGUGUGUAAAUGCGUAGAAAUAUAUUUUUAUGGGUUGGCUAUACCUUACCCACCAAUCACCUUAAUUCCUGAUUUCUUUGGCCUAAUUGAAUUAAAAAUAUCUCUCAUUUUUCCUUCUGCCCAAUCACGCACAUACACACCAUCACUCUCUCUCUUCUCUCGGACCUUCUUCUUCUUUCUUCUCAUUCCGUACACCCGAGCCACCCUUACCUCACAAUCAUCAUCAAAACAUUAUGGAUCGAAUUGGAAAUCACUACCAUCGCAGUCACCUCGAUCCCACGAACUCAUUGAUACCCUUAGGUCGAGGAAUAGACGUCGGGAAUUCGAGAACUCGGGAGCUCUGGCGAGGUGUAUUUUUCUACUUUGUGAUCGUGGUCUUUUUCUAUGGUUUAAAGGCUUGAGGUGGGUCCUAAUCAACUUUAUAGGGACCCUAGAUUAGUUUUGGAGCAGUUUGAACGUUGGAAUAGGUGAGAACAUGGAGUUGCAGGUUGGCCGGUUGAUCCAAGCCUUACUCCGACCACUUUCUGUCGGUUUUAGAACCUCAAGUAGGUAAGAUUGUAUUCUUCUAGUUGAGAGUUUCAAAUCCAUAUAAAAUUCAUGGAAUUUGGUUGAAAAAUGAUGAAGAUAUUAAAGUUUUAAGAUUUUUCCAAAAAUCAGCGACACAAACGGCGCCCGACGGCCAGCGAUGGAUUCCGACAAAGCCAUCGGAGAAGGAGGAGAAUAUUAUGUCUAACUUUGACAGAAUAUACUAACAGCGUCAGGUAACUCUAUUAGUUUUUAAACAAAAUAUUCUACUAUUUAAUGAAAUAUUCCCUAACGCCGUUAGGGAUUCCGUGCCUGCACGUGCCGGCUUAUGAGGGCGCGUGAGACGUCAGGAAAUUAAUCUAAAAAUAUUGGGGUGUUCGAGUUGUUGAGUAGGUCAUGUUGGUAUAUUCAAACACCCUAUUUGAGCAACGUAUGAGAAGUUAUUCCUAGGGUUUGUGUAUGUGCCUUAAAAUUAAUGUAAAAUUAGUUAUUUCGCAUAUAGGUGAGACUUACCCGGAGGACAAACGUGGUCAAACGAGACUUGGGGGCUACGAUCCUACUACUUACCAGUGAGCGGGCUUUUUUUUUCUAUAUAUAUGUAAAUAUGCUUAUGAAUCCCAUAAACUACUUUAAAUGAACGUAUGUUUUAAAUGCCAUGUCGUGUGCAUUAUGUGUUAGUAUUGCAUUAGUAUAGCUAUGCAUAGUAUUGGAUGAGACUGCGCAGACUCAGGUAAGUUUCAGGUGAGUACAUCAUGAUGGUAUUGGGUGCGUGUGUGUGGUUAUACGUUGAUGCAUUUUGAGCUUAUUAUCCUGCACAUUGGUGUUAGUGUUCUCGCCCAUGGCCAGGGCAUAGUUUUUCACAUGAUGUUCACCUCCUGGGCCGCACGCUCACUUUGGAUCCAAGUUUGGUGCACAGCCAUAUUGCACAGACCACAAUAGGUGGUUCCGACUCGUAGGUGACCUGCAAUUAUUUGCACAGCCUUCACGUGAUCGUAGCACUUAAGCGUACUUAUCUACACCCAGCCCUGUUGUACAGACCACAAUAGGUGGUUCCGACUUAUGUGCAUGCAUACUUGAUGAGCUAUAGAUUCAAUUGUACAGGUUACAUUAGGUGACUCCGGUUGGCAUACUAUUUUAGGUUGAUUCGUAUCACCUGGCUUACACAUUUUAUGGUUGAACAUCUUGACAUGGCAUACCUCUGUUUUCACUGCUCUAAGCAUUAUCCUUAUGUACCUAGUUGUUAUUAUUUUCUGGAAAAUUAUAUGGGUUUACAGUGAGGGGUUAGUAUGUUCAUAAAGACAACUGUGUUUUCAAAAACUUUGUUUUUGCCUACUCACAUUUUUUGUUUUGCACCCUUUCAGGUUCUAGGUAGUUGGUCAUCCUUGGUGGCUCACGAGGACUUUCACGGCGGUUCUGACAUCUCUGUAAAUAAGUAGGGAUUUUUUUCCCUGUUUGUAUAAUUAGUACUUAGUUGGUUCGAUUGCACUUUCGUUUACCCAUGCUCUGAUAUUUGUAUAACUUGCUUGGUCAUCUUUACUCACUUAUAUUAUCUUAGUUUAGAUAAGUUUGGUUUUAGGUUUUUAUUUAUUCGCAUUUCUUUUAUUAUUACUUCUGUUGCGCAUUUUGGCUACGUUACUCUUACGUGACGGGCAUCAUGUUUCGACUUCGGUUGGGGUGUGUCAUAAAAGCCUCUUCAAGUCUUCAUGAUUUGGCUUGCAGAGAUAUGUGGCUCCAUAUGUGGCCUGAAUUGCCCCACAGAAGCGCUCCAGGUUUUUAAUAGCAGUAGUCUCCGCAAGUCGGCAAUACUCAUCAGUUGAGUUUGCAGAGCACUCAUUAGCUAGCAUCCGAAAUGCAGAUGUGAGCUUCUGAUGAGGUGAUAGACUUUGUCGGCCUACGACAUUUAUCUUCCUUGCAAAGUAGUGGUCAUGAUUGACAACUGUGUUCAAGAUGCUUUCAAAAAUCUCUCUCCUCAUUCGAAACCGUCUCCGAAAAUCAUGAGCAGGAAAUCUCGGACGCUCAAUAAAAUAAUAUUUCAUCAUUCGGUCAUGACACUCUUCUCUAUCACGUUGCACAAAUGAACGCUUCGUGACAUAACCACAAUAGCUAGAUUCGACAUGGUGCUCAUAUUGCAUAAGCGAGUUUGGAAGUUUAGCUUAUGCGUUGAUCAUUUUUGAAUCCUCAAUGUCAAGGCUUGCUUGGUAUUAUGUCAUUUGCAUUGCCCUGCUACACCUUCUUCUAUCAUCCAUUGUUGAUAUAUUGAGGAUUUUUAUGAAACAAAAACACUUUGAAAGUUGAAAGAUUAGUGAAUAUAGGGAAUGAUUGAAGGUUGAAAGAUUGUGUGACCAACUGAUAUUGAACAUGUGUUUAUAUAGAGGAUGAUUGAUGAAAGUUGAAAGUUUGGUGAAAGUUGAACGGUUGGUGAAAGUUGAAGAUUUGUGAAAGUUAAAGACUUGCUUUGUGGAAAGAUUUAGUGAUUUUUUCAAUAUUUAUUGGAAUUUAAAUAUUUUUAUAUUAAAAUGUUCAUAAAAUUAAUUUACCAUAGGCUACAUAAUUUUUUUUAAAAGUUAAUUUAAGAAAAAAAAUUAGCCUAAGUUCAUUCUUUAAUAAUCCCGAACUAAAAUUUUAGGCUAGGGUUGGAGCAGAAAAACUGUUUCUGUGUUAAAAGCUAAAUUUUUUAGAUUAAAAAUUUUAAAUUUUAACCCAAAGGUUGGAGAUGAUUUAAGAAUGGAUAAACUUAACCAAGAAAAGAAGAAAAAAGAUGAAGGGCAAAUAAGUGAGAAGCAACAUGACACGACACACGGACGACCAUAGCAAUAAAGCGUGCGUCCUCACGUCCAUUGAAUAUAUAGAUGGGAGCUACAACAUCGUGUUUCACGUGCAUGUGUAUUAUACAUAAAGGCAUAUACAGUGUUAGCUUAUAUAUUAUAAAGUUUGUAGGCCACUUACCCAAUUUGGCAUAUGUUUUAUCUUUUUACGUGAAUAACCAAUGUGUUAUGAUGAUACAAGUCUCUUAACAUAUCCGGAGUUAGAAAUAUCAUAAGACAGUGUUGCGAUCAUAUUGAAAUUAAUUGACAGUUUGUAUUAUAUAUUUGAUUAUUCUUUAUUAACUUAAGGAGACAGCAUACUUAGACCUAAUUUAGUCACAUUCUCCAACCGAAAAUAAAGCGGUGUAGUAUUCAUACACUUUUUUUUAUUUCUUACACAGUCUUAAUUAAUUUCUAUUGUUUGAUCUUCUUCAAUUCAUUCGAUCUGACGACCGAAAAUUAAGAUGGUGUGUGGACGAGUAAAUUAUAACAAUGGUCCCUCAACUUUAAUCAAAUUGGAGCAAGGGUGCUCAACUAAAAAUCCAUUACCAUUGGUUCCUCAACUCAUCAAAAUGUGUAGCUAUGGUCAUUUUCGUCAACUUCGUUACAAUUUUGUCAAAAUAAGUUAUAUUGGAAUGACUAUUGCUACAAUUGGGGUCCCUCAACUCAUCAAAACGUGUAGCUAUGGUCAUUUUCAUCAAUUUCGUUAGAAUUUUAUCAAAAUGAGUUUUGUUGGAAUGACCAUUGCUACAAUUGAAUUAAAGUUGAGGGACUAUUAUUUCAAUUGAGUUAAAGUUGAAAGAUCAUUUCUUCAGUUGUAUUAAAGUUGAAGGAUCAAUGGUAAUGAAUUUUUAGUUGAGGGGACUAUAGCUGCACGUUUUAAUGAGUUGAGAGAACAAUAAUAAUGAAUUUUUAGUUGAAAAACUAUUACUUCAAUUGAGUUAAAAUUAAGAAACAAUUGCUACAAUUUUUUUAUAUGGAAAGUGGAUGAUGUGAAUAGCACAUCCAAAAAUAAAAGGGAACUUUAACGAAAAGCACCCGGUACUGUUCACUUUAACGAAAAACCACAUUUUUACACUAAAAAGUCAAUCCUGGUACUAUUCACUUUACCCUUUAUUUUGUCCUUAUCAUUAAAACUCAAAGUUUUCAAGCCCUUUUCAUUAGUUUUCCUAAAAUAAAAUGCACCACAAUUUGGUAGGAUCUUCCUGUUGAGAGUAAUAAAUUAAUAAUUGCCGAAAUAUUGGAUAAUUUGUCGGCCACAACGCUAUGAGGGAGUAUCUGGGGAUGAAUAUACUCUUGCCGACAGAUGCCCAAAUUCCAACUGCCAUUCAAAUGAGCCCUCCACCACCACCGGCCAUAAUAAAUUCUCUUUCUUUAGUGAAGAAGAAAAAGAGGUACUUGGCCCUCACCUCAACUUUUUGAGAAAGAACAAGUUUAUCGCUAUCAGAAUGUUUCGGUCAAUUAUAUAAGUUAUGUGUAAAUUUUUCUUUAGAUAACAUUACAUUAUUAUAUUUAAAAUGUUCCGUAACGAUAAAUUUGUUUCAUACAAAUUAUUCUCCAACUUCUUGGAUUUUUCUCCUUUUUCCCGAAAACCAGCUUAUAUUAGUGUUCAUCCUCUGUCAAUAUCACUCGCCCACAACUAUUCAACUAACUUUUAAUAAUUUGACAACGUGUCAUAUUUUUGUGCAAAGCGGGCCCAUUUUUGUGGGUGAUAUAAUAAUGGCGUAUGUGGUUUGUCAAGACAUAUACUCAUUUAUCCAUUAGCAGUUAGGUAAGUCACCUCACUCACCCACAGCCUAACACAUCAACAAAUAUUGCUUACAAAUUCUAGAAAAUUCGACCAAGAAAAAAAACCAAAUGCUCGCAAAUUAAAAUUGUGUAACAUGAUUAGUUUUUUAUCCAUUAGUAUUAAUUUUACGUUGGAAGAAAUUCCAAAUUUAUUCUUGUAAAGAGGGAUAUGAAAAUACUUUGUAUGUCUAUCACCAAAAUCUUCGAAUGUUUGAAUGGUUGAUUUUCAAGUCUCACACAAUUGGAUUUAGUUCAAGUGAGAAAGAAAUACACUCAAACUAUUAGAUAUGAGGAAUGAAAAUACACUACAAAAUCUUGUGAACAUUUCUAAUAUUCUCUUCUAUCUACUUUUUGUGAACCAAGUUUUUAUUUGUUUUUUUUUUUAACAAAAGAUAUUUUUUAUACUAGGGAAAUAAGGUGGGUUUAGCCUCAUAAUGGGCUAACAUAAUCUAGUUCAAACUUGCAUUUGGUGAGAAUCGAACCUAAAAUCUCUCACUUACAAGUGAAGAGGAAUACCAUUAGAAGUGUCAUGAAAUUAGCAGUCUUAUAUGUAAAAAAUUGAUUGACUAAAUGCUGUGUUAAAAAACAAGAUUAAUACUUGCAUCUCCCCACUUGGAAAAUGCAAAUAUUUCAUUUCUUGCAAAUAACGUAUAUCAUGCGUUCUGUUCAAUCGCAUAUUCAAAAAUGUUAAAAACAAGAUUAAUAUUUCUAUCUCCCCACUUGGAAAAUGCAGUAUUUCAUUUUUUACGAAUAACGUAUAUCCUGUGUUCCGUCCAAUCGCGUAUUAAAAAAAUGUGUGAAGUUUGGAUUAACUACACUCUUUGAGAAUUUCCUUAAAUAACCACUUUUUGAAAAUUUCUUAUAGGACUAAGUGAGUCUCCGCUGAGAAUUUCCUUAACUAACACAACACUACUUGAGUGAUAAUUUGUUAUAUCUUGAAUAGAGAAUAAAUCAGUUCCCUACUUUUGAAGGUACUAUUAACUUACACUAUAUUUGAAUGAGAACAAUAAACUUAGAAUUUAGAUGAAGGAAAUAAAACAGUUUCCUACUUUUGAAGGUACUACUCGAGUGAUAAUUUGUUAUAUCUUGAUAACGUGUCAUAUUUUUUUGCUAAGCGGACCCAUUUUUGUGGGGUGGUAUAAUAAUGGCGUUUGUUGUUUGUCAAGGGCAUAUACCCAUUUAUCCAUUAGCAGUUAGGUCACCUCACUCACCCACAACCUAGUACAUCAACAAAUAUUGCUUACAAAUUCUAGAAAAUUCAACCAAGAGAAAGAAAACCAAAUGCUCGCAAAUUAAUCUGUGUAACAUUAGUUUUUAUCCAUUAGUAUUUAUUUUACAUUGGAAGAAAUUCCAAAUUUAAUCUCGUAAAGAGGGAUAUGAAAAUACUUUGUAUAUCUAUUAUCAAAAUCUUUGAAUGUUUGAAUGAUUGAUCAUCAAGUCUCACACGAUUGAAUUUAGUUCAAGUGAGGAAGAAAUACACACAAACUAUUAUAUAUGAGGAUUGAAAAAUACACUACAAAAUCUUGUGAUAACAUUUCUAAUAUUCCUUUCUAUCUACAUUUUGUGAUAAGUUUUUUUUUUCCUUUUUUGAACAAACUAUAUUUAUCUACAUUAAGGGAGAGGAGGUGAUCUUAGCCUCACAAUGGGCUAGCAUAAUGUGGUUCAAAUUCGCCUUUGGCGAUAAUCGAACCUAAAACUUAUCAUUUACAAGUAAAUAGGAAUACCACUAGAUGGAUCAUGAAAUUAGCAGUCUUAUAGGUAAAAAAAAAUUGAUCGACUAAAUGAUGUGUUAAAAAACAAGAUUAAUACUUGCAUCUCUCCACUUGAAAAAUGUAGAUAUUUCUGUGAACACGGAAAAUUCCUGAAACGAAAGAGACAAGAACAACGUGCACAAAAUAAUAUUUUGGUGUUAAUGGAUUUGUUGGGUUACGAUCUCUUUUAACUUGAUCCUCUGAUUCGAUCUCCGUAAGGUGUUGAUUUAUGGAUGUUUCGUUGAUCCAAGGGCUGUUGAGGCUUGAUCUUAGAUGAACUGUUGGAAGUUUCUUCAAGGGGCCGUGGGCUUGAUCUUUGAAGGUGGAUUUGAGCGGAUCUUCAAGGAGCCGUUGGGGCUUGAUCUUGAGGAUGAGUGUUUCUUCAAGGGCCGUUAAGGCUUGAUCUUGAAUAACGGUGAUGAACGGAUCUUCAAGGGCUUUUGGGCUUGAUCUUGAAGAACGGUUGGAUGUGUGGAUUUGUUGAUGUUGUUGAUCCAAGGGCCGUCGGAGCUUGAUCUUGGAAGAACGAUGAACGAAGAACGAAGAACACUUUCUUCAAAGGCCGUCGGGGCUUGAUCUUGAAUUGGUGAUUGUUGAUCCAAGGGCCGUCGGGGCUUGAUCUUGGAAGAACGAUGAACGAAGAACGAAGAACACUUUCUUCAAGGGCUGUCGGGGCUUGAUCUUGAAUUGGUGAUUGUUAAUCCAAGGGCCGUCGGGGCUUGAUCUUGAUUCUUCGGGAUGAACGGAUGAUGAACAAUGAACACUUUCUUCAAGGGCCGUCGGGGCUUGAUCUUGAAUUGGUGGAAGUUCUUCAAGGGCCUUUGGGGCUUGAUCUUGAAGGUGGAUGAUUGUUGAUCCAAGGGCCGUCGGGGCUUGAUCUUGGGAUGAACAGUUGUGUGGAUUUGUUGAACACUUUCUUCAAGGGCCGUCGAUGCUUGAUCUUGAAUUGGUGGAAGUUCUUCAAGGGCCGUUGGGGCUUGAUCUUGAAGGAGGAUUUGACGAAGAACGAAGAGGGCUUUCUUGAUCCUUCGGGAUUUGCUUGAAUUUGGGAGGUUGGAUGCUUGAAAGCUUUAGAGUUUCAAAGCUUCAAGGAUUUUGGAUGUGUGGGGAGUAUUCUCUUCCAUUUUGGGAGUAGAGAAAUGUAUUUGUGAAUUGGUUUUUGAUACCUUGAUGUAGAAGCCUAUUUAUAGGCUUUGAGAAUGAAUCACCACCACAAAAUAUUUUUUUUCUUUUCCAAGCACCAUUGCCUAAUUUCCCACUUAAUACAAUUUUAAACUUGAAGUGGUAAUUUUAUGGCCUAAUUUUCCACUUAAUAUCAUUUUAAACUUGAUAUGUGCAUGCUUUGUCAUUGCCCAAAAUGAGAAGAAAACCUUGUUUUGAUCUUCAAUGAAUUGAAAUGUGCUUGCCUUGUCAUUGCCCAAAAUGAGAAGAAAAACUUGUGUAAUCCUUCAAGGGUAUUUCUUUUUAUUUUGUUGAGUCGCACACCAUGUGUACAAUUUGUAUGACACGUGGCAUAUGCCAUGUACGCCUUGACACGUCAAAAUUUUAAUGCGUUGGUGAACAUUUAUUUCACCGCAAUUUCGGUGUCUACAAAUGCCCCCACUUCAAGGUGCGUCGUAUACAUGUGCUUGUCACGUGUAGGAGAUGCGUUUUGAAGUCCCUUACUGUAGAUGUCAAUCCAAUGGCCAUCGAGGCUUGAUCUUGAAUUGGGCUGGAGAUUUCUUCAAGGGCCGUUGAGGCUUGUUCUUGGACUUUGUUUGAAAUUUCUUCAAGGGCCAUCGAGGCUUGAUCUUGAAGGUUGAAAUUGGACCACAAGGAGCUUCAUGUGGUAGAUGAUCUUUGGCUUUGGUAGUGGAUGAAUCGGCACGUAUUUGUUUUUGCGCUUUGUUGACUUUCCACAGCUUUGAUCUUGAACUGGGUUGGAGGAUUUUUUGGAUUCCUCCAAUUGUUGAUUUUCCACAGUUUAUUCUUGAACUGGAUUUGAUUCAAAUAUGGUGGACGCUUGAUCUUGAAUCGGACUUGUGAUUUCCUCAAGGGCCGUCGAGGCUUGAUCUUGAAUUUGGCCGGAAACUUCUUCAAGGGCCGUUGAGGCUUGAUUCUUGAAGGUUGACUCGAACACAUGGCAAGCAGGCACGAGGUGAAGGUGACGACUUGUUGCUUUGUUCAAUCUUUCUAAUUCACACCUGAGCAGUUUGGUCAACGGUAUGAUCUUCAAGAUUGAUGGGCUCUUCUUCCAGUUGGUGAUUUGAUCUUUAAGGAUUUGAUUCAAGGGUGGUGAAACGGCACAUGCAGCCCACAACGCCUAGCAAGUCGACCCAAGAAUUUGAGGGUUAAAACGAGUCCUCCACCCAGAGUGAUUGCAAACCUGAUGAUAUGAGAUACUUUUGAUUUUGAAGAAGUAGCGGAUGAAUCGGCACGUGCUUUGUUGUGCUUGUCUCCACAUGCUUCAAUGUAUCAUUUUCCCUUGUCUUAUCUAUUCUUCUAGCAGAAUGUAGCAUCUUCUUAAGUUCUUCAACUCAGACUCCUUCUGCUGAGCUGACUGUGCAGGCUGCAUUAUUCUCUGCUUGUUUCUUUAGGCAGAUGUGGCAGCUUCUUGAGUUCCUCAGCUCGGACUCCUUCUGCUGAGCUGAUUGUGAAGACUGCAUUCUUAUCUGCUUGUUUCUUCUGUACGUUGUCUCCACAUGCUGCAAGGUAUCAUUUUCAAUUGCCUUAUUUGUUUUCCAGGCAAAUGUGGCAUCCGAGUUUGAGUGGAGGUUCUGGCAUAUUGUUUUCUUUAUCCUUGUCUUUGUAGGUAAGAACAAGGACAAAGGAAAGGACAGGGAGAACGCAUGAUAUGAUAUACUCUUGCUUUCUACCCUGGUGAUAUGAGAUACUUUUGCUUUGGUGUCAUUUGUUUGCAGAGGUACCCCAAGGAAUAAGAAACACUGAGUGACUCGAGAGGCUUUGUUGGGAAGGCAUUCUAGGAGAUGAAGAAAGGUUCUUGGAGAUGAAGAAAGGUUCUCGGAGAUGAAGAAAGGUUAUGUAUGUCUGCCUUGCUAUGGAGGGUAAAGGUGGACAGUUAUAGGAAAUUCUUUAGUACCUGUAGAGGUACUAUUCUUUUACUCGUGUCGGCAACCAAUGUGUGAUUGAUCAGUAUGGCUUCACGUGUUUUCUUCUUUAUCAGAAAUCUUCGACAAAUUGUCCGUAAUUUUCGUCAAGCUGAGUGUGCAUGUGACAGGUGUUGACGAGGCUGAAAAAGACUGGUGCCUCUUCGAUAUCUGGGAUCGGCGCUUCGACAAAUUGCCCGUGAUUUCCGCAAAGCUGAGUUUGCGCGUGACGGGUGCUGACGAGGCUGAAAAAGACUGGCGCCUCUUCGAUAUCUGGGAUUGGCGCUUUAACAAAUUGCCCAUGAUUUCUGCAAAGCUGAGUUUGCACGUGACGGGUGCUAACGCGUCUGGAAAAGCAAGAUGCUUCUCCGAUUUCUGAGCUUGCCUCUUUGAUUUUUGAAUUGGCCUCUUCGAAUUCUGAGCUCGCCUCUUCGAUCUUUGAAAUCCCAUCGAGUGUUGAUCUUUAUAGAGGCACGCAGUUCGUUUCAAAGCACACUUGAAUUUUCGCUUGUAGAAACUCCCUUCUUGCACUUCUAAGAUCUUGAUUUGUCCGACCUCUUCUUUCUUCAACACCUUUGAAAAUGUCUGGACCCUCCGACCGUCAUUUUGAUUUGAACCUUGGUGAAGAGGUAGUCCCGUCUUCUCCAGAUAACAUAUGACGCCCAUCUUUCAUAUCCCCUACUGGUCCUCUUACCGUUGGGGAUUCGGUGGUGAAGAAUGAUAUGACCGCUGCGGUGGUGGCCCGAAACCUUGUCACUCCCAGAGAUAACAGACUACUUUCCAAACGGUCUGAUGAGUUGGCUGUUAAGGAUUCUCUGGCUCUCAGUGUGCAGUGUGCAGGUUCUGUGUCUAAUAUGGCCCAACGCCUAUUUGCUCGAACCCGUCAAGUUGAAUCAUUGGCGGCUGAAGUGAUGAGUCUCAAACAGGAGAUAUUAGAGGGCUCAAGCAGAGAGAUAAACAGUUGCAUAAGCUCGCACAUAGCUAUGCGACAAACAUGAAGAGGAAGAUUAACCAGAUGCAGGAAUCUGAUGGUCAGAUUUUACUUGAUCAUCAGAGGUUUGUGGGUUUGUUCCAGCAGCAUUUGCCUUCGUCUUCUGGGGCUGUACCGCGUAAUGAAGCUCCAAAUGAUCAACCCUUGGCUCCUCUUCUUCCUGGAGUUCCGCCGAGUGGUGUGGCUUCAAACAGUCAACCUCCGACGCCUCUCAUUUCUGGAGCUCUGCUGAGUGGUGAGGUGGCACCUAAUCGUCCUUGAAGAUCCCCUCUUGUAAAUUUGAUUUGAUUUUUUUUUAAGUAUGUAUAAUGCAAAUUUAUGUAAAAUUUCCAGAAAAAAUAAAUAAAAACGGACUUUAUUUCUCUCAAUGCAUUUGUUUUGUUUUGUUUUUGUUUUUUUUGUUUUUUUGUUUUUGUUUUUUUUGUAAAUACAUAAUAACAUAUGUAUUUAUUUAUUUAUUCUUUUGUAAUAAAAUUGACUUUCUUUAAUAAAACUUUUAUAUUUUUCUUAUUUAUUUUGAUAUGACUGAACUCGAAAUUGAAUGUUCGAGCCGCCUACGUACCCUUCCAAAGAAGAGAUCAAGCCAUAACGUAGUUCAAAUGAGUGAUGAAUUUAAUAGUGAUUUUGAUGAUGAUUUUGCCGUACACAGUUUAUGCUCUUGUGGGCCAGGAGCUUUGGUGUUGCCUUUUAUGCUCGUGCAGACCAGGAGCGUUGAUGUCGCCUUUUAUGCUCGUGUGGGUCAGGAGCGUUGAUGUUGCCUUUUAUGCUCGUGCAGACCAGGAGCUUUGUGCCAUGCAGUUUAGACUCGUGCGGGCAAGGAGCUUUGGUUCGUGCAGUUUAGGCUCAUGCGAACAAGGAGCAUUGGUUCGUGCAGUUUAGGCUCGUGCGAACAAGGAGCAUUGGUGUUGCCUUUUAUGCUCGUGCAGACCAGGAGCUUUGUGCUAUGCAGUUUAGACUCGUGCGGGUGAGGAGAAUUUGUGAAUUUUGUCAAGCACUUUUGGAGAGGCGUUCCUUACAAUCUUCAUAGCAAGGAGCCUUGACCGAGUGAUUGAAGAAGUCUUCGGGAAAGAAGUCGCACAUCGUGAUGGCAACAGACGAUCUUUGUGUCGUAAUUUCAUCAUCUUCAACACGUUCACGUUGCUUUGAAGGUUGACAAGAGCUGCUUUGCCCCCUUUCCGAUUGGCGGACUUGUGGAGGAGACGUAUGCUUCUUGUGCCAUUUCUUAGGAGUGACUUGAGUCCAUCCUUCAAGUUUGCUUGUUUUGGAGGAUGCCCCCGGCGGUUGAGGUGAAAAUUUUGUGUUGAAAGAGCCAGAAGUGAUGGUGGUAUAGUUUGACUUCACCACAUCGUCAAGAUCUAGCUCGAUGAUUCCUUUCUGAGCCCACUUUAUGAUGAGAUCUUUCAGCACAAAGCACUUUUCUGUCGGAUGACUGAUGAAGCGGUGGAAUUUACAGUAUCUUGGACUGUUGGUACGAUUCAUCUCUUCCGGCCAUCUGCACUCAGGCAAACUGAUCACCUUCUUGUCCAACAGGUCAUCCAACAUGGCAACCACAUCAGAGUCAGGGAAUGGAUAAGUCUUCUCUUUAAGCUCCUUCAAAGUGCGUCUACGCAUCUCUUGAUCACGAAAAGCUUCGGUUUGAAUCGUUUUGCCUCGUGUGGAGAUUUUGACGGGAGAUGUGUUGACUGUCAUUGCUUCCUUGGUGGAUUUCCACGUAGCCUUCUCCACCUUUGUCUCAAGAAUUUUGUCGUUCUUGUAGUCGGCGAUCGGUUCCUUCUUCCCAUGAUGGGUGAUGCUCAACUCCAUGUCAUGGGCGUGGGUGGCCAAUUCCUCGAAGGUCCGUGGUUUAAUGCCUUGAAGGAUGUAUUGCAAACCUCAUUGCAUGCCUUGGAUGCACAUCUCGAUUGAAGAGGUCUCCGAGAGCCUAUCUUUGCAGUCGAGGCUUAGAGUGCGCCAUCUGUUGAUGUAGUCAAUGACCGGCUCAUCUUUCCAUUGCUUCAUACUUGUGAGCUCCAACAUGCUUACAGUGCGGCGGGUGUUGUAGAAGCGGUUGAGGAAUUCCCGCUCCAAUUGCUCCCAGCUGUUGAUGGACUCAGGCUCUAGGUCCGUGUACCACUCAAAUGCGUUUCUUUUCAGCGAGCGCAUAAACUGCUUGGCGAAGUAGUCCCCCUCCGUCCCCGCGUUGUUGCAAGUUUUGACGAAAUGUGCAACGUGCUGCUUUGGGUUUCCUUUUCCAUCAAACUGCAUGAACUUUGGUGGUUGAUAUCCCAUCGGCAUCUUUAGGGCAUCAAUCUUCUUUGAAUAAGGCUUUGAGUACAACCCGGAGGUAUUUGAGCUCCCUUCGUACUAUGCCUUGACGGUGCUGGCAAUCAUCUCUUGCAACUGUUGGAUAGAAAGAGAUCCCAUGAGUGCCGCUUCUUGGUCUGGCUCCGGCUUCACAUCGAUUUUCUCCACCGUAGGCUCAUCUUCUGGGUUAGGGUUCUCGCUGUCCUGUGGCUCCAGUUGACUGAUGAGUGCAGCGAUUUGCAAGUCUUUUUCUUCCACAGUUCGGGUUAGCCUUGCGAUUGCUUCAUUCAUUUGAGCCAGUUGUUCUUCGAUGGAGGUAACGCCGAUGGUCAUGACUUGUGCAACCAAUAGACGUGACUUUCCUUUAGACAUCCAAGAUGCUGAAGAAGAACGUCAUUGGUUGUUUUGGGAUGUCAUCUUGUGUGCCUCAGCAACAUGCUUUGGUGCCCCCAGCGAGGUCAGGUUGAUGACAGACUCACACCUUUGAUGCUCCCUUUGCUCUUUUAGCGGCACCAACUUUGAAGUGGCAUGUUAAGGAGCGGUUGUGGUGCUAAUGGAUUGUCCAUUUGCGGCAGAAGUGCUUAGGAUCCUUCCCUCAGUGAUUGCGAGAACGGCUUGUCCCUUGCUUGAUGCCAUUGAUUUUGAGGUGUGUUUGGAUUCCUUAAACGGAGAAAGAUAUGAGAGGUAGAGAUUGUCCCACCGGGCGUGCCAAUUUGUGAACACGAAAAUUUCCUGAAACGAAAGAGACAAGAACAACGUGCACAAAAUAAUAUUUUGGUGUUAAUGGAUUUGUUGGGUUACGAUCUCUUUUAACUUGAUCCUCUGAUUCGAUCUCCGUAAGGUGUUGAUUUAUGGAUGUUUCGUUGAUCUAAGGGCCGUCGAGGCUUGAUCUUGGAUGAACUGUUGGAAGUUUCUUCAAGGGGCCGUGGGCUUGAUCUUUGAAGGUGGAUUUGAGCGGAUCUUCAAGGAGCCGUUGGGGCUUGAUCUUGAGGAUGAGUGUUUCUUCAAGGGCCGUUAAGGCUUGAUCUUGAAUAACGGUGAUGAACGGAUCUUCAAGGGCUUUUGGGCUUGAUCUUGAAGAACGGUUGGAUGUGUGGAUUUGUUGAUGUUGUUGAUCCAAGGGCCGUCGGGGCUUGAUCUUGGAAGAACGAUGAACGAAGAACGAAGAACACUUUCUUCAAAGGCCGUCGGGGCUUGAUCUUGAAUUGGUGAUUGUUGAUCCAAGGGCCGUCGGGGCUUGAUCUUGGAAGAACGGUGAACGAAGAAUGAAGAACGAAGAACACUUUCUUCAAGGGCCGUCGGGGCUUGAUCUUGAAUUGGUGAUUGUUAAUCAAAGGGCCGUCGGGGCUUGAUCUUGGAAGAACGAUGAACGAAGAACGAAGAAGGCUUUCUUGAUUCUUCGGGAUGAACGGAUGAUGAACAAUGAACACUUUCUUCAAGGGCCAUCGGGGCUUGAUCUUGAAUUGGUGGAAGUUCUUCAGGGCCUUUGGGGCUUGAUCUUGAAGGUGGAUGAUUGUUGAUCCAAGGGCCGUCGGGGCUUGAUCUUGGGAUGAACAGUUGUGUGGAUUUGUUGAACACUUUCUUCAAGGGCCGUCGAUGCUUGAUCUUGAAUUGGUGGAAGUUCGUCAAGGGCCGUUGGGGCUUGAUCUUGAAGAAGGAUUUGACGAAGAACGAAGAGAGCUUUCUUGAUCCUUCGGAAUUUGCUUGAAUUUGGGAGGUUGGAUGCUUGAAAGCUUUAGAGUUUCAAAGCUUCAAGGAUUUUGGAUGUGUGGGGAGUAUUCUCUUACAUUUUGGGAGUAGAGAAAUGUAUUUGUGAAUUGGUUUUUGAUACCUUGAUGUAGAAGCCUAUUUAUAGGCUUUGAGAAUGAAUCACCACCACAAAAUAUUUUUUUCUUUUCCAAGCACCAUUGCCUAAUUUCCCACUUAAUACAAUUUUAAACUUGAAGUGGUAAUUUUAUGGCCUAAUUUUCCACUUAAUAUCAUUUUAAACUUGAUAUGUGCAUGCUUUGUCAUUGCCCAAAAUGAGAAGAAAACCUUGUUUUGAUCUUCAAUGGAUUGAAAUGUGCUUUGCCUUGUCAUUGCCCAAAAUGAGAAGAAAAACUUGUGUAAUCCUCCAAGGGUAUUUCUUUUUAUUUUGUUGAGUCACACACCAUGUGUACAAUUUGUAUGACACGUGGCAUAUGCCAUAUAUGCCUUGACACGUCAAAAUUUUAAUGCGUUGGUGAACAUUUAUUUCACCGCAAUUUCGAUGUCUACAAUUUCAUUUCUUGUGAAUAAUGUUUAUCCUGUGUUCUGUCCAAUCGCGUAUUAAAAAAUGUGUGAAGUUUGGAUUAACCACACUCUUUUAGAAUUUCCUUUAUUUACCACUUUUUGAGAAUUUCCAAUAAGACUGGGUGAGUCUCCGCUGAGAAUUUCCUCAACUAACACCACACUACUUGAGGGAUAAUUUGUUAUAUCUUUGAAUAAAGAAUAAAACAGUUUCCUACUUUUGAAGGUACUAUUAACUUACACUAUAUUUGGAUGAAGGUCAAACUUUAUAAAUUGACAUACACCAAAUUCUUUGUUUGGAUUCAUAAACAUAUAAAUUUAGAAUUUCCGCGUGGAAAAAAAAAAUACUUAGAAUUUGAGACCUCCAAUUCUCAAAUUGAAAGUUUAAAAAUAAUAAAUUCCGUAUUCAAUUCAAUUGUUCUUUUAGGUUAACCAAAUAAGAAAAUUCACAAAUUCUAAAAUAUAAAAUCUCAUCAUUUCAAUUUCCGUCAUUUUAAAAUUCCUUAGUAAUAUUAAAUUUCUUCAUCCAAACAUAGUGUUAAGAAAUUUUUUAAAGAUACACUAUUUACACUCAUUUUUAUUUCUUACACAUUUAUUAACUUUGUCCAUUGAUUUCUUCAAUUCAUUUUGCCAGUUAUACAAAAAUUGAGAACAGUAUUUAUGAAUUAAAAAUACAUUUGUAGAUGUCACUACCAAAUUUUUAUUCCUAAUUCAAGAAAAUCUUAUCCAUAUAUGAUUGCCCUUGCCCACUUUAAAUGGGUGCCAUCACUUUACGAUAGAGCAAUCCUAACCGUCCACCUAGGUAAGCAUAACUGGCGAUGCAUGUCGCAAGGGGACCGCAUUGCACAAUAUAAUUAUACUAGUUGAUAAGACAAGUGAUGUCAAUCAAUAAAUUAUUUCAUUAAAACUUAGUUGUAUGUAUCAUAUGUUGUAAUGUAGGGUGUAUGAUAUGCUGACGCUGUAAAAAAAUGUAACCUUUUUAAUAUUACUCAUAAUAGUAAGACUUACCAGUAUUAGGAUGUUAUCAGUGGAAUGAGAAUCCUCUCCAGAUCUUUUUUGUGAGCUAUUAUUUGUAUUUAAUUUUAAAUAUAAAAAAUUAAAAUAAUUUAUGACGGCAGUGAUUCACAUGAUCUUCACAAAGAGAAUCCAAAUAAUCUUAAUUUAUAUCAGUGUGUCUAGAUAACAUGAUCGAGCCCCUUUACUUUUACCCUAUUUAGUAUUUUACAUUUGAACCUGUAAAUAUUCGAUUUUUCUUUGGUGCAACCGAGCACCAAAUAUAGAUUUUUUUUCACUUUUAUAUAAUGAUAAAUAAAGGGCAAUUGGCAGAUUUGAAUUCCAUUCGGAUUGGUCAAAAAUCAUUUUAAAUUGUUUUAUUUAAAAUUAAACACAUAUAGUACUUAAUAAAAAUUAGUCGUACAAUAUACGAUAAACAGAUAUAAUGUAAGGACCUUUAUGAUCUUCACAAAAAAGAUCCAAAGGUUGUGUAGCUGUUUCAAAAGGAUAAUACUCACUUUUGAUUAGUUCAAUGAAAUUUUAAACAUGUUUUAUUGUUUUAAAAAAUAAUAAACAUAUUUAUUAAUGUUUGUUUUACUUUAAAAAAUAAGCAGCACUUGACAACAUUUGAUUGUGCUAAAUAAAAAAUGAGUGACCACUUAGUACUACAGUCUUAUGAUAUUUUUCUUCAUUUGAAAGUGAGAGGUUUUAAGUUCGAAUCUCGUGGAUGACGAAUUUGAUAUCAAAUUAGAUUGCUCACUAUGUGGCUUAGCCGAACUCUCAUUUCCUUUAAUGUAAAAAUAUUGAUGUAUUCAAAAAAAUAAAAAGUGACUAUAGAGGACACUCAAUCUCAGCUGUAUGAUUAAAUCAGACGGUAAGAAAAAUUCUGCAAGCAUACUCGGUUACAUUAAUUGAAGAAAAAAUGGGUAAAUAUUGGGCACCAACGUUAUAAAUACCCUCCACCAUGCACCCAACUCCCUCACACCAUCACAACCCACGUUACAAAUCCUCCUCCUCAUCAUAACCAUUCUGUUUUCCGCAUAAUAUCCAAAAACCUAUCAUGUCUGAAGAGAAACACCACCGCGGUCUCUUCCACCACCACAAGGAUGAAGACAAACCCUCAGACUACCCUCAGUCUGGCUACUCUGAUGAAGGACGUCCCGGCGGCCUCGGUGGUGGUUACGGCGACACCAAUGAUUAUUCUGGUGAAGGACGUACCGGCGGCCUAGGUGGUGGCUAUGGCGACACCAAUGCUUAUUCUGGUGAAGGACGUCCCGGCGGCUAUGGCGGCUAUAACGAGACCACUGCUUACUCUGAGGAAAGAGUUGAAAGACCCGGCGGUGGCCGGUACAGUGAGACUACUGCGGCAUAUGGCAGCACCACCACUCAUGAAUCUGAACUUGAUUACAAGAAGGAGGAGAAGCACCACAAGCAUCUCGAGCACCUCGGCGAGGCCGGUGUAGCUGCUGCCGGCGCUUUUGCCUUGGUACGUAUUGUAUUUUAACCCACCUCUAUAUAUAUAUAUAUUAGAAUAAUGCUAAUAAGACCAAAUUUUGAAAACUAAAUGAUGUGGUUGUUGAUAAUGAACUUAUUACUCAAGUCUUGAUUAACAUGCUUAUUUUCUAAUAGUGACACAUUAUUUGGUUUAGAAAUUUGGUCUUCCUAACUUUAUCAUUCUCAAAAUUUUCAUGAUUUUGAUAGGGUAAUACGGGAGAUCAAAAUUUCUAAACCAAAUUUGCAAACCAAUAGAUGAUUGGAUUAUUAAUUAAGUAUCGAUUGUUUGUUUCUUAUUAACGACAUAUCAUUUGAUUUACAAUUUAGUUAAAAAAAAUUUAUUCUUUCUGUCAUAUCCUUUUGAAUAUUUGAUCACUUUACUCUUUAUCACUUUACCCUUGAUCACUUUACCCAUACUCUUGCAACCGAAUCACCGUCCUCCUCCUUAACCUUCAUUUUUUUGUCUUACAGUACUCCAAUCUAUCAACUCUGUCCAUUGCAACUUUAAUUGUGAAGAAAAUUAAAGUCCUAUCGUAAAAUUAAUUAGUGAUAUGGAGAGUUGCGCAAUUAUUGAUGGACUAGGUAGGUAAGAUACGGAAUCAAAGUCUACCAUUAACAAUGGACGGAAUUGAUGAACCAUAUAGGUAUGUAAGAUACGGAAUCAAAGUCCUCAUGUAAAUGGUACAGUUGCAAUCAGGAGAAGAAAUGAGUUAACUGAUACCUUCGUAAUAGUUCAUGUAGAGUUUUGAUAUUAUUAAGCCUUAACCACCUGAUCUUAUAUAUACGAGGACAAAUCUAAUCAAAUAUGUGUUAAUUUCAAGGUUUGUUUUACAUUGAUGUGAGAUCGAUGCUAGCAAGAUAUAUAACUUAUGUCAGUUUCUAUAUGAUGUGUGUAGCAUGAGAAGCACAAUGAAAAGAAAGACCCAGAGCAUGCCCACAGGCACAAGAUAGAAGAGGAGAUUGCUGCAGCAGCUGCAGUUGGUUCGGGUGGAUUUGCCUUCCAUGAGCAUCAUGAGAAGAAAGAGACAAAGGAAGAAGAGGAAGAGGCUUAUGGAAAGAAGAAGCACCACCACUUCUAGAUCUAUGUGGAUUGUGGAACAUCAUCUUUUGA